AGGGAAAGAGGGCGGGAGGGAGAAAAAAGGAAAGUAGAAAGGAAGCACAGUAAGAGCUUGCUCUUACGGGUGGCGAGUGGCGGACGGGUGAGGAAUACAUCGGAAUCUACUUUUUCGUGGGGGAUAACGUAGGGAAACUUACGCUAAUACCGCAUACGACCUACGGGUGAAAGCAGGGGAUCUUCGGACCUUGCGCGAUUGAAUGAGCCGAUGUCGGAUUAGCUAGUUGGCGGGGUAAAGGCCCACCAAGGCGACGAUCCGUAGCUGGUCUGAGAGGAUGAUCAGCCACACUGGAACUGAGACACGGUCCAGACUCCUACGGGAGGCAGCAGUGGGGAAUAUUGGACAAUGGGCGCAAGCCUGAUCCAGCCAUACCGCGUGGGUGAAGAAGGCCUUCGGGUUGUAAAGCCCUUUUGUUGGGAAAGAAAAGCAGCAGGUUAAUACCCCGCUGUUCUGACGGUACCCAAAGAAUAAGCACCGGCUAACUUCGUA
RNAcentral lists this ribosomal RNA (492 nucleotides) under uncultured bacterium. RNAcentral describes it as "partial 16S ribosomal RNA". It matches the Rfam family "Bacterial small subunit ribosomal RNA", at positions 38 to 507 of the family's 1533-position model. The record is from RNAcentral.